UACGGGGGGGGUAAGCGUUGUUCGGAAUUACUGGGCGUAAAGGGCUCGUAGGCGGCCAACUAAGUCAUACGUGAAAUCCCUCAGCUUAACUGGGGAACUGCGUGUGAUACUGGAUGGCUUGGAUUUGGGAGAGGGAUGUGGAAUUCCAGGUGUAGCGGUGAAAUGCGUAGAUAUCUGGAGGAACACCGGUGGCGAAGGCGGCAUCCUGGACCGAGAUUGACGCUGAUGCGCGAAAGCCAGGGGAGCAAACGGG
Molecule: ribosomal RNA, 253 nt
Filed under: uncultured bacterium
Lineage: Bacteria
Description: partial 16S ribosomal RNA
Rfam family: Bacterial small subunit ribosomal RNA
Source: RNAcentral